RNAcentral lists this ribosomal RNA (758 nucleotides) under uncultured bacterium. RNAcentral describes it as "bacterial SSU rRNA". It matches the Rfam family "Bacterial small subunit ribosomal RNA", at positions 28 to 774 of the family's 1533-position model. The record is from RNAcentral.
GAUGAACGCUGGCGGCGUGCCUAACACAUGCAAGUCGAACGGAGUAUAUGCGCUGAUGAUCGAAGCGCUUGCAUAGAGAGAAUCUUGCAUAUACUUAGUGGCGGACGGGUGAGUAACGUGUGGAUAACCUGGUCCAUCCAGGGGGAUAGCAGCUGGAAACGGCUGGUAAUACCGCAUAAGCGCACAGCAGGGCAUCCUGCGGUGUGAAAAGAUUUAUCGGGAUGGAAUGGAUCCGCAUCUGAUUAGCCAGUCGGCGGGGUAACGGCCCACCGAAGCGACGAUCAGUAGCCGGCCUGAGAGGGCGGACGGCCACAUUGGGACUGAGACACGGCCCAGACUCCUACGGGAGGCAGCAGUGGGGGAUAUUGCACAAUGGGGGGAACCCUGAUGCAGCGACGCCGCGUGGGUGAAGAAGUAUUUCGGUAUGUAAAGCCCUAUCAGCAGGGAAGAUAAUGACGGUACCUGAGUAAGAAGCCCCGGCUAACUACGUGCCAGCAGCCGCGGUAAUACGUAGGGGGCAAGCGUUAUCCGGAUUUACUGGGUGUAAAGGGAGCGCAGACGGAAGAGGAAGUCAGAUGUGGAAGCGAUGGGCAUAACCCAUGGAGUGCAUUUGAAACUCCUUGUCUAGAGUACUGGAGGGGUGAGCGGAAUUCCUGGUGUAGCGGUGAAAUGCGUAGAUAUCAGGAAGAACACCGGCGGCGAAGGCGGCUCACUGGACAGCAACUGACGUUGAGGCUCGAAAGCGUGGGGAGCAAACA